AGCCUAAUUAGAUUAUGAGAUAACUCAAUUGCACGGGAGAUCUAUUCCUAAUUUGAUUAAGAUUUGAAUUAACCAAUUUUCUAAUUGAAUUAGGAUCUAAUUGGAUUUCUAAUAGAUUAAAAAAUUAUUUAAUUUUGGGUGCAUCUAAAUCCUAAAUUGGUUAGGAUUUAAUUACACAUUCAAGAGAGUUCCUAAUUUUACUGGGAC
Molecule: long non-coding RNA, 207 nt
Filed under: Elaeis guineensis (African oil palm)
Lineage: Eukaryota; Viridiplantae; Streptophyta; Magnoliopsida; Arecales; Arecaceae
Description: long non-coding RNA (EGUI_LNC027848)
Source: RNAcentral